This 607-nucleotide ribosomal RNA is filed under the name uncultured bacterium. RNAcentral describes it as "bacterial SSU rRNA". It matches the Rfam family "Bacterial small subunit ribosomal RNA", at positions 10 to 617 of the family's 1533-position model. The record is from RNAcentral.
AGUUUGAUCAUGGCUCAGGAUGAACGCUAGCGGCAGGCCUAAUACAUGCAAGUCGAACGGCAGCAGCACUUCGGUGGCUGGCGAGUGGCGCACGGGUGCGUAACGCGUAUGCAACCUACCUCUUACUGGGGAAUAGCUUCCGGAAACGGAAAUUAAUACCGCAUAACAUCCCGACACGACAUCGUGACGGGAUCAAAACUGAGGUGGUAAGAGAUGGGCAUGCGUCCCAUUAGCUAGUUGGCGGGGUAACGGCCCACCAAGGCGAUGAUGGGUAGGGGGUCUGAGAGGAUGAUCCCCCACACUGGUACUGAGAUACGGACCAGACUCCUACGGGAGGCAGCAGUAGGGAAUAUUGGUCAAUGGGCGAGAGCCUGAACCAGCCAUGCCGCGUGCAGGAAGACGGCCUUCUGGGUUGUAAACUGCUUUUAUCAGGGAAGAAAACGUCCAUGCGUGGAUAACUGACGGUACCUGAUGAAUAAGCACCGGCUAACUCCGUGCCAGCAGCCGCGGUAAUACGGAGGGUGCAAGCGUUGUCCGGAUUUAUUGGGUUUAAAGGGUGCGUAGGCGGCUUUAUAAGUCAGUGGUGAAAGACGGCAGCUCAACUGUC